RNAcentral lists this ribosomal RNA (279 nucleotides) under uncultured bacterium. RNAcentral's name for it is "partial 16S ribosomal RNA". It matches the Rfam family "Bacterial small subunit ribosomal RNA", at positions 506 to 784 of the family's 1533-position model. The record is from RNAcentral.
UGCCAGCAGCCGCGGUAAUACGAAGGGACCUAGCGUAGUUCGGAAUUACUGGGCUUAAAGAGUACGUAGGUGGUUAAAAAAGUUGAUGGUGAAAUCCCAAGGCUUAACCUUGGAACUGCCAUCAAAACUUUUUAACUAGAGUAUGAUAGAGGUAAGUGGAAUUUCUAGUGUAGAGGUGAAAUUCGUAGAUAUUAGAAAGAACACCAAUUGCGAAGGCAGCUUUCUGGAUCAUUACUGACACUGAGGUACGAAAGCAUGGGUAGCGAUGAGGAUUAGAUA